RNAcentral lists this signal recognition particle RNA (283 nucleotides) under Pongo abelii (Sumatran orangutan). It matches the Rfam family "Metazoan signal recognition particle RNA". Rfam says of the family: The signal recognition particle (SRP) is a universally conserved ribonucleoprotein. It is involved in the co-translational targeting of proteins to membranes. The eukaryotic SRP consists of a 300-nucleotide 7S RNA and six proteins: SRPs 72, 68, 54, 19, 14, and 9. Lineage: Eukaryota; Metazoa; Chordata; Mammalia; Primates; Hominidae. The record is from RNAcentral.
GACAGCAAGUGUAGCCCCAGCAAUUGAGUUGGCUGAGGAGGGAGGAUUGCUUGAGCCCAGGAGUUCUAGGAUGUAGUGUACUAUUCUAAUCGGGUGUCCGCACUAAGUUAGACAUCAAUAUGGUGACCACCUGAGAGUAGGGGACCACCAGGUUGCCCAAGGAGGCGUGAACCGGCUCAAGUUGGAAAUGGUGCAGGUGAAAACUCCUGUGCUGAUCAGUAGUGGGACUGCAUCUGUGAAUAGCCACUGCAUUCCAGCCUCGGCAACAUAGAACCCUGUCUUU